CCUACGGGUGGCUGCAGUGGGGAAUAUUGGGCAAUGGGGGGAACCCUGAUCCAGCGACGCCGCGUGAGUGAAGAAGUAUCUCGGUAUGUAAAGCUCUAUCAGCAGGGAAGAAGAAAUGACGGUACCUGAGUAAGAAGCCCCGGCUAACUACGUGCCAGCAGCCGCGGUCAUACGGAGGGGGCAAGCGUUAUCCGGAUUUACUGGGUGUAAAGGGGGCGCAGACGGCAAUGCAAGCCAGGAGUGAAAGCCCGGGGCCCAACCCCGGGACUGCUCUUGGAACUGGCUGGCUGGAGUACAGGAGGGGCAGGCGGAAUUCCUAGUGUAGCGGUGAAAUGCGUAGAUAUUAGGAGGAACCCCGGUGGCGAAGGCGGCCUGCUGGACUGUGACUGACGUUGAGGCUCGAAGGCGUGGGGAGCAAACAGGAUUAGAUACCCAAGUAGUC
RNAcentral lists this ribosomal RNA (442 nucleotides) under uncultured bacterium. RNAcentral describes it as "partial 16S ribosomal RNA". It matches the Rfam family "Bacterial small subunit ribosomal RNA", at positions 338 to 795 of the family's 1533-position model. The record is from RNAcentral.